Long non-coding RNA from Oncorhynchus tshawytscha (Chinook salmon), 1175 nucleotides. The record is from Ensembl. NCBI's taxonomy places the organism in Eukaryota, Metazoa, Chordata, Actinopteri, Salmoniformes, Salmonidae.
AGAUAUAAAGAGAGAAAGAGAGAGAGAGAGAAAGAGAGAUAUACAGAGAGAGAGAGAGAAAGAGAGAGAGAGAAAUAGAGAUAUAAAGAGAGAGAAAAGUAAGAGUAAUGAUGGAAGGUGACAGAAGUCCUCCACCUGUUCUACUCUCUCACCCCUCCUCACCCCCUCACCCCUCCUCAUCAUGACUGUCCUGGCCUUGUCCCAACAGCUGAAACAAUGUCCCCAAACAGACUUCUCUUCUCCCCCACUCUGUCUCCCCUGAGUCUCCUAUGACCAAUCCAGCCACCGACUCUAGCCAUAGAAGAGAGGCCAGUGGAGUCAGGAGAUUUCACGGGGCUGGAGGCUGAACUGAAGAACAGGCAGGAGGCUGAACUGAAGAACAGGCUGGAGGCUGAACUGAAGAACAGGCAGGAGGCUGAACUGAAGAACAGGCUGGAUGCUGAACUGAAGAACAGGCUGGAGGCUGAACUGAAGAACAGGCUGGAGGAAUGGGGGGGGGGCAGCCAUAUGUUGUUACACACAGACACACAGACUGUCUGUAGUUACAGCCACUUCCUCUCUGCAGCUCAGUCAGCUGAAAACACCAUCCAUCUCCUCCUAACCACGCACUACAAACACCUAGAAGCACAGACUGUCUGGAGUUAUGCUGAACCUUUCCCACUAUGAAUACCAGGUUAACUGAGGGACAGACAGUGUGGUGAAGAAGGAGCAACAGCACCUCUUUAACCUCAGGAGGCUGAAGAAAUUCAGCUCGGCCCCUGACUUCUACAGAUGCACCAUUGAGAGCAUCCUGUCAUGCUGUAUCACCGCCUGGUAUUGCAAUCGCACCGUCCACAACCGCAGGAGACAUGUGAGAUGGUGCGGUCAGCCUAACGCAUCACCGGGGGCACACUGCCUGCCCUCCAGGACAACUACAGCCCCCGGUGUCACAGGAAGGCCAAGGAUAUCAUUAAGGACCUCAGCCACCCGAUCCAAGACCUGUUCACCCCGCUAUCAUCUAGAAGGCAAGGUCAGUACAGGUGCAUCAAAGCUGGAACCAAGAUACUGAAAAACAGCUUCUAUCUCCAGGCCAUCAGACUGUUAAAUAGUUCAGGGCAGGUAACUAGGCUCCACCCAGUACCCUGCCCUGAACCUUAAUCACUGUUACCACCCUCCCCCCAGUACCCUGCCCUGAA